RNAcentral lists this ribosomal RNA (627 nucleotides) under uncultured bacterium. RNAcentral's name for it is "bacterial SSU rRNA". It matches the Rfam family "Bacterial small subunit ribosomal RNA", at positions 29 to 654 of the family's 1533-position model. The record is from RNAcentral.
ACGAACGCUGGCGGCGUGCUUAACACAUGCAAGUCGAACGGAGUACCCUCGAAAGAGAUUUCGGUCAAUGGAGAGGACUACUUAGUGGCGGACGGGUGAGUAACGCGUGAGGAACCUGCCUUUCAGAGGGGGACAACAGUUGGAAACGACUGCUAAUACCGCAUAACGUACGGGUAUCGCAUGGUACUGGUACCAAAGAUUUAUCGCUGAGAGAUGGCCUCGCGUCUGAUUAGCUAGUUGGUAGGGUAACGGCCUACCAAGGCGACGAUCAGUAGCCGGACUGAGAGGUUGGCCGGCCACAUUGGGACUGAGAUACGGCCCAGACUCCUACGGGAGGCAGCAGUGGGGAAUAUUGGGCAAUGGGCGCAAGCCUGACCCAGCAACGCCGCGUGAAGGAAGAAGGCUUUCGGGUUGUAAACUUCUUUUGACAGGGAAGAGCAGAAGACGGUACCUGUCGAAUAAGCCACGGCUAACUACGUGCCAGCAGCCGCGGUAAUACGUAGGUGGCAAGCGUUGUCCGGAUUUACUGGGUGUAAAGGGCGUGUAGCCGGGCUGACAAGUCAGAUGUGAAAUCCGGGGGCUCAACCCCCGAACUGCAUUUGAAACUGUUGGUCUUGAGUAUCGGAG